UCUGUCUGUGGAGAUGCUCUCCUAGGUUCUACUCCAGUCCCGUGACUGAUAAUUCUGUCAAACCAUUACAGGUAUCUUCCCUUGGGGCGCUCAGCCCACUAAUUCACAUUUUUCGCUAACCCCCUUGUCUCUCAUCUUAGCUGGAUUACAGAGCUGAACUUACACCGUUUCACUUCACGAGAAUGUUUUUGUAGGAUGGAUCCUGAAAAAUGGAAAUCCUGGGCAAAGCACACGUGAGCCCACACUCAGAUGGUUUUCUACCUGAUAUUUUCAUGUUCAGAAGUUCACACUCUAAACAAAUGAACAAAAAAACCUAUUUUCAGUAGCACCCCUGAAGCAGUGUGCAAGGUGGAGUCAUUACAGUGAGCUGGGAAUGGUACAGAGGCUUCUCUACGUUUCCCCAGCUCCAAUCUGCUAUGAAUGCAUGUCACCUUCAAACCAGCAGUUCCAUUUUUUAGGACUUCAUCUGUAGAAAUAAUCACAUAUAAAUACAAAAACAUGAAUAGGGGUGGGUAUAGCAGCAUUGCUUAUAGUGUUUAAAAACAGAAAAAUAAUGCCCAGGAAUAGAGUGACUAAUUAGAUUGUGGUAUAUCCUAAUAAUGAAGGCAGCCAUUGCAAAGCUAUUAUAAACAUGUAUAUACAUUCAAUUUGCUAAUGUGAUAUCAGCUGUAGUACAUUGGCUUUAGAAGGUCUACAUUCAGAAAAUAUGUACUGAAUGUACAUACAGGAUGUCAGAUAUUAUGAUUCAUUAAUAUCAAGCAGAAAAAAAUAAAGGACCACUAAUAUGUGUGUAUAUAUUUGUGAAUCCAUAGGGAGUGUUGACAGAUUUCUUCUAUAGAGUGGAAUUAUAGAGGCAAAGAGAGAAAGUGGAGGAAGAUUUUUGCUUUUUAUUCUAAAUAUUUCUGAAAACAAUCUACCGGGCACCUGGGUGGCUCAGUUGGUUGAGCAGCUGCCUUCGGCUCAGGUCAAGAUCCUGGAGUCCCGGGAUCGAGGCCCGCAUCGGGCUCCCUGCUCGGCAGGGAGUCUGCUUCUCCCUCUGACCCUCCCCCCUGUCAUGUGCUCUCUCUCUCAUUGUCUCUCUCU
This 1083-nucleotide long non-coding RNA is filed under the name Zalophus californianus (California sea lion). RNAcentral describes it as "lncRNA (ENSZCAG00015000079.1)". Lineage: Eukaryota; Metazoa; Chordata; Mammalia; Carnivora; Otariidae. The record is from RNAcentral.